GCACCCGUAGCUCAGCUGGAUAGAGCAUCGGACUUCGAAUCCGAGGGUCGCAGGUUCGAAUCCUGCCGGGUGCACCA
This 77-nucleotide transfer RNA is filed under the name Deltaproteobacteria bacterium. RNAcentral's name for it is "tRNA-Arg". It matches the Rfam family "tRNA". Rfam says of the family: Transfer RNA (tRNA) molecules are approximately 80 nucleotides in length. Their secondary structure includes four short double-helical elements and three loops (D, anti-codon, and T loops). The record is from RNAcentral. Lineage: Bacteria; Pseudomonadati; Myxococcota; Myxococcia. RNAcentral also lists the same sequence under 1 other name.